Molecule: ribosomal RNA, 467 nt
Filed under: uncultured bacterium
Lineage: Bacteria
Description: partial 16S ribosomal RNA
Rfam family: Bacterial small subunit ribosomal RNA
Source: RNAcentral
GAUGAACGCUGGCGGCGUGCUUAACACAUGCAAGUCGAACGGAAAGGCCCAAGCUUGCUUGGGUACUCGAGUGGCGAACGGGUGAGUAACACGUGGGUGAUCUGCCCUGCACUUCGGGAUAAGCCUGGGAAACUGGGUCUAAUACCGGAUAGGACCACUUCUUGGAUGUUGUGGUGGAAAGUUUUUUCGGUGUGGGAUGAGCUCGCGGCCUAUCAGCUUGUUGGCGGGGUAAUGGCCUACCAAGGCGUCGAGGGGUAGCCGGCCUGAGAGGGUGUACGGCCACAUUGGGACUGAGAGACGGCCGAGGUGCCUACGGGAGGAAGAAGGGGGGAAGAUUGCACAAGGGGCGCAAGCCUGAUGCAGCGAGGCCGCGGGGGGGAUGACGGCCUUCGGGUUGUAAACUCCGUUCGCUAGGGACGAAGCGUUUUGUGACGGUACCUGGAGAAGAAGCACCGGCUAACUACGUG